Molecule: long non-coding RNA, 196 nt
Organism: Zea mays
Lineage: Eukaryota; Viridiplantae; Streptophyta; Magnoliopsida; Poales; Poaceae
Exons: 3
Source: RefSeq, a predicted model, not a curated record
AGGCAAAGGCGAAACAAAGGGAUUGCGAAGGCAGAACCCUCUUAAUGUCAUUGGUCUUCGUCUUGCAAAUGACAAUGGGACUUCUGCAAAGCACAUCAGGAAGAACUAGCUGGGCCUAUGCAAGGAAGAAGGGAAGAAAUAAUGUGACACUAGAUGAUCUCAUUCAUGUUAUUACUCUGAAAGGAAGAUGUCAGUU